Molecule: ribosomal RNA, 561 nt
Filed under: Bacillus subtilis
Lineage: Bacteria; Bacillati; Bacillota; Bacilli; Caryophanales; Bacillaceae
Description: bacterial SSU rRNA
Rfam family: Bacterial small subunit ribosomal RNA
Source: RNAcentral
GAGUCGAGCGGACAGAUGGGAGCUUGCUCCCUGAUGUUAGCGGCGGACGGGUGAGUAACACGUGGGUAACCUGCCUGUAAGACUGGGAUAACUCCGGGAAACCGGGGCUAAUACCGGAUGGUUGUUUGAACCGCAUGGUUCAAACAUAAAAGGUGGCUUCGGCUACCACUUACAGAUGGACCCGCGGCGCAUUAGCUAGUUGGUGAGGUAACGGCUCACCAAGGCAACGAUGCGUAGCCGACCUGAGAGGGUGAUCGGCCACACUGGGACUGAGACACGGCCCAGACUCCUACGGGAGGCAGCAGUAGGGAAUCUUCCGCAAUGGACGAAAGUCUGACGGAGCAACGCCGCGUGAGUGAUGAAGGUUUUCGGAUCGUAAAGCUCUGUUGUUAGGGAAGAACAAGUACCGUUCGAAUAGGGCGGUACCUUGACGGUACCUAACCAGAAAGCCACGGCUAACUACGUGCCAGCUACCGCGGUAAUACGUAGGUGGCAAGCGUUGUCCGGAAUUAUUGGGCGUAAAGGGCUCGCAGGCGGUUUCUUAAGUCUGAUGUGAAAGCC